Pelobates cultripes (western spadefoot toad) is the source of this 651-nucleotide non-coding RNA. The record is from the annotation of a GenBank genome assembly. NCBI's taxonomy places the organism in Eukaryota, Metazoa, Chordata, Amphibia, Anura, Pelobatidae.
CACACACACUCUGCAUUCACUGCACUAACACACACUCUGCAUUCAUUACACUAACACACACACUGCAUUCACUACACUAACACACACACACUCUGCAUUCACUGCACUAACACACACUCUGCAUUCAUUACACUAACACACACACUGCAUUCACUACACUAACACACACACAAUCUGCAUUCACUGCACUAACACACACUCUGCAUUCAUUACACUAACACACACACUGCAUUCACUGCACUAACACACUCUGCAUUCACUGCAUUAACACACACACUGCAUUCACUGCACUAACACACACACUGCAUCCACAACACUUAGACACACUCUGCAUUCAUUACACUAACACACACACUGCAUUCACCACACUGACACACACUCUGCAUUUAGUACACUGACACACACACUGCAUCCACUACACUGACACACACACUGCAUUCACUACACUGAAACACACUCUGCAUUCAUUACACUGACACACACUCUGCAUUCACUACACUAACACACACUCUGCAUUCAUUGCACUAACACACACUCUGCAUUCAUUACACUAACACAGUCUGCAUUCAUUGCACUGACACACACACUGCAUUCGUUGCACUGACACACACUCUGCAUUCAUUACACUGCCACACACUGCAUUCAUUACAC